ACUGAUUCUUUUAUUGCUGAUUUUGUAAUGAAAGGAAAAAAUACCAAAGCGAUUAUUUUCAUUGAUAAGGUUUUAGUGCAGUCAGUUAUGUCAAUAAUUAAUGACAAACUAACCAUUUUUGUGGAUGGAACAUUUAAGACAGUUCCUCAAAUUCAAGAAAAUAAUUGUCAAUUGUGGACAAUUAUAAUUAGAUAUGAUAAUAAGACAUUUCCAAUUGUUUACACUAUAAUGGAAGGACGCACUUUUGAUGAUUAUUUAAAUGUUUUACAGAAAGUCAUCCACGUAAUUAAAUUAGCACCAGAAAUUAUAAUAUCAGAUUUUGAAAAAGCCGAGCGAAAGGCAUUACAAACGAUUUUUCCCAGAGCUAAAGUCAUUGGCUGCUUCUUUCAUUAUAGUCAGGCCUUAAUACAUAAUGCUAAGAAGCACAACAUCCUAAAAGGCGACAAAAAGGAAUCAGUUACACAGAACGAACAAUAUUUCUGACAGGCACAACCGAGAAUUACGAGAAAGCCUAAAGCAACAUUCAUAAAUAGUUGAAUUUUUAGCUAAUCUAAUUGAACACCAAAAAGACAUUCGAAGUAAACUGAAACAUCCAAACUUCUGGGCGAGAUCAGAGCAUUAUAUAUUAAAACAGAGGGAAAAUGAAAUUCAAACAAUUUGGUAUAAAAUCCAAGA
Molecule: unclassified non-coding RNA, 675 nt
Filed under: Harpegnathos saltator (Jerdon's jumping ant)
Lineage: Eukaryota; Metazoa; Arthropoda; Insecta; Hymenoptera; Formicidae
Description: uncharacterized LOC109504119, transcript variant X1
Source: RNAcentral